ACUGCAGUCGAGCGACAGAUAAGGAGCUUGCUCCUUUGACGUUAGCGGCGGACGGGUGAGUAACACGUGGGUAACCUACCUAUAAGACUGGGAUAACUUCGGGAAACCGGAGCUAAUACCGGAUAACAUUUGGAACCGCAUGGUUCUAAAGUGAAAGAUGGUUUUGCUAUCACUUAUAGAUGGACCCGCGCCGUAUUAGCUAGUUGGUAAGGUAAUGGCUUACCAAGGCGACGAUACGUAGCCGACCUGAGAGGGUGAUCGGCCACACUGGAACUGAGACACGGUCCAGACUCCUACGGGAGGCAGCAGUAGGGAAUCUUCCGCAAUGGGCGAAAGCCUGACGGAGCAACGCCGCGUGAGUGAUGAAGGGUUUCGGCUCGUAAAACUCUGUUAUUAGGGAAGAACAAACGUGUAAGUAACUGUGCACGUCUUGACGGUACCUAAUCAGAAAGCCACGGCUAACUACGUGCCAGCAGCCGCGGUAAUACGUAGGUGGCAAGCGUUAUCCGGAAUUAUUGGGCGUAAAGCGCGCGUAGGCGGUUUCUUAAGUCUGAUGUGAAAGCCCACGGCUCAACCGUGGAGGGUCAUUGGAAACUGGGAAACUUGAGUGCAGAAGAGGAAAGUGGAAUUCCAUGUGUAGCGGUGAAAUGCGCAGAGAUAUGGAGGAACACCAGUGGCGAAGGCGACUUUCUGGUCUGUAACUGACGCUGAUGUGCGAAAGCGUGGGGAUCAAACAGGAUUAGAUACCCUGGUAGUCCACGCCGUAAACGAUGAGUGCUAAGUGUUGGGGUUUCCGCCCCUUAUGCUGCAGCUAACGCAUUAAGCACUCCGCCUGGGGAGUACGACCGCAAGGUUGAAACUCAAAGGAAUUGACGGGGACCCGCACAAGCGGUGGACAUGUGGUUUAAUUCGAAGCAACGCAAGAUCCAAAUCUGUCCUUGAAACUCUAGAGAUAGAGCUUUCCCUGGGAAGACGGGGCAUGGCGUCAGCUCUCGAAUGUGGGAUCAGACCUACUUCUUGGCUCUGCUGGAGAGUU
RNAcentral lists this ribosomal RNA (1036 nucleotides) under Staphylococcus sp. Its description in RNAcentral is "bacterial SSU rRNA". It matches the Rfam family "Bacterial small subunit ribosomal RNA", at positions 53 to 1098 of the family's 1533-position model. Lineage: Bacteria; Bacillati; Bacillota; Bacilli; Caryophanales; Staphylococcaceae. The record is from RNAcentral.